AAGGAUUUAGGAUAGCUAAGACCAAGGGCCUUCAAAGCCCCAAGCGGAGGUGAAAAUCCUCCAAUCCUUG
This 70-nucleotide transfer RNA is filed under the name Zenopsis nebulosus (mirror dory). RNAcentral describes it as "tRNA-Trp". It matches the Rfam family "tRNA". From Rfam's summary of the family: Transfer RNA (tRNA) molecules are approximately 80 nucleotides in length. The record is from RNAcentral. Lineage: Eukaryota; Metazoa; Chordata; Actinopteri; Zeiformes; Zeidae.